RNAcentral lists this ribosomal RNA (864 nucleotides) under uncultured Chloroflexota bacterium. RNAcentral describes it as "bacterial SSU rRNA". It matches the Rfam family "Bacterial small subunit ribosomal RNA", at positions 33 to 916 of the family's 1533-position model. The record is from RNAcentral. Lineage: Bacteria; Bacillati; Chloroflexota.
GCGCCAAGGGGGGCGGCUAUAAUGCAGUCGAGCGGAGAAAUUAGCAAUAGUUUCUUAGCGGCGAACGGGUGAGUAACGCGUUGGUGACCUGCCUCGAAGAUUGGGAUAACAGUUCGAAAGGACUGCUAAUACCGGAUGUGAUCAUAGAGACUAGAGGCUUAAUGAUUAAAGGAGAAAUUCGCUUCGAGAGGGGCCUGCGUCCCAUCAGCUAGUUGGUAAGGUAAAGGCUUACCAAGGCGAUGACGGGUAGGGGACCUGAGAGGGUGGCCCCCCACAAUGGAACUGAAACACGGUCCAUACACCUACGGGUGGCAGCAGUAGGGAAUAUUGCAUAAUGGGCGAAAGCCUGAUGCAGCAACGCCGCGUGUGCGAUGAAGGCCUUCGGGUCGUAAAGCACUUUUGAAGGGGAUGAGGAAGGAUAGUACCCUUCGAAUAAGCUUCGGCUAACUACGUGCCAGCAGCCGCGGUAAAACGUAGGAAGCGAGCGUUAUCCGGAUUUACUGGGCGUAAAGCGCGUGUAGGCGGUCUCAUAAGUUGGAUGUGAAAGCUCCUGGCUUAACUGGGAGAGGUCGUUCAAUACUGUGAGACUAGAGGAUGGGAGAGGGAAGUGGAAUUCCGGGUGUAGUGGUGAAAUGCGUAGAUAUCCGGAGGAACACCAGUGGCGAAAGCGGCUUCCUGGCCCAUAACUGACGCUCAGACGCGAAAGCUAGGGGAGCGAACGGGAUUAGAGACCCCGGUAGUCCUAGCUGUAAACGAUGUGGACUUGGCGUUGGCGGGUUUAAAUCCGUCAGUGCCGAAGCAAACGCGAUAAGUCCACCGCCUGGGGACUACGGCCGCAAGGUUAAAACUCAAAGGAAUUGACGG